RNAcentral lists this ribosomal RNA (585 nucleotides) under Triticum aestivum (bread wheat). Its description in RNAcentral is "partial small subunit ribosomal RNA". The record is from RNAcentral. Lineage: Eukaryota; Viridiplantae; Streptophyta; Magnoliopsida; Poales; Poaceae.
AAGAUACCUCUUAAGAAUAAAAUCUUUGCAUGGUAUCUUCAUCGCGGAGUCAUUCUUACUAAAGAUAACCUUAUUAAGAGGAAUUGGUAUGGAAGUACACAAUGUGUAUUUUGUCUGCAUGACGAGACAAUAAAACAUUUGUUCUUCCAUUGUAAAUUGGCUCGUUCUAUAUGGCCAGUCAUCCAGAUAGCUUCCGGCCUGUAUCCUCCUUGUAAUGUUGCAAAUCUAUUUAGCAACUGGUUACAUGGGACUGAUCACAGGUUUAGAAUUCUUCUCAGGGUGGGAGCGCUUGUCGUGAUUUGGACGCUCUGGCUAUGUACAAAUGAUAAGGUUUUUAAUGAUAAAAUUACUUCUCUUAUGCAGGUUAUCUACAGAUGUACCGGGACGCUUCGUUUAUGGUCCUCUCUACAGCGAGUGGAGAAUCGAGGCCUAUUUACAGAGGCGUGUACACGAUUGAAGGCUGCAGCAAGUAAUAAAGCGUCCUUUUUCAAAAAUUUAAAAGUCCAAAGAGAUUUUUGUUUAUUUACUGUGUGUGGGACUUCGACUUUCGGAAAGCGCUUUCAUUCUUUUCCACAAAGCCAAUGA